RNAcentral lists this non-coding RNA (199 nucleotides) under Alicyclobacillus acidoterrestris. The record is from RNAcentral. RNAcentral also lists the same sequence under 1 other name. Lineage: Bacteria; Bacillati; Bacillota; Bacilli; Caryophanales; Alicyclobacillaceae.
AUUUCAAUUUGCGAGCCAGGUGCUCACGUUCGCGUGAGUGAAAAGGGAAUCCGGUGAGAAUCCGGAACAGUCCUCGCUGCGGUGAAGAACGACGUAGAAACAGUGGUGCUUUUGCACCAACCACUUGACGUAAGUCAGGGAAGGUGGUUUCUGCGGAUGACGUCUAAGUCCGAAGACCUGCCUAGCUCGAUGGCUGUAC